Molecule: long non-coding RNA, 703 nt
Organism: Diospyros lotus (date-plum)
Lineage: Eukaryota; Viridiplantae; Streptophyta; Magnoliopsida; Ericales; Ebenaceae
Exons: 3
Source: RefSeq, a predicted model, not a curated record
GAUUGGAAGAAAGGAGAAGCUUGAAUAGGAAGAUUGGUUAUAAUGAUUAAAAGUCUUAACUUGGGAGACUUAACUUGGGAGACUUGACUUGAGAGACUUAACUUGUAAGACUUGAAUUGGCUUGCAAAGGAAGGAGAAGAUGGAGCUUAUCUUGAAGGCCACGUGAAGGUGUACUUGGAAGCUUAGGAUUGGAAGAAAUGAAGGCUUGCUUGAGAAGAUUGCAAAAUUUUAAAGUUGUGAUGAUUACUUGGGUGGAAAAUGAGCAACUUGGUGGCCAAGUAAAAUCUUGAGGAUUUGGGCAUUUAAAGGCUAUAUAAAGGGGAGGAGGAAGGGCCACGAGAAGCAAAGGAGAAAGGAAAGAAAGCAAGUGCAAGAAAAAGAAAAGAAAAAGCAAAGAAGGAAGGAAAGAGAGACCAGAUUGGAAAUCACCAAAAACGGAAAAGAAAGCUAAAAGAAACAGCCCCUAGUGCAAGAAAUCGGGCUGUAAAUCGUGCUAUCGAAAGGAAAACGACCAAGCUUUGUCGGAAGUAUUAAGUGUUUCAGGCUCCAGGUUCCAGCAUGAGCAAGGAUUGAGAGGUGGCGCUUGGCUGAUUUAGAGAUGGAUUUGUUUGUAUACCCGUGUAACCCCAAUAUUGUAAUGUAAAUAGUAGUUAAGAUACUUAAGGAUGUAAUUGUGAAGUUGCUAUAACUUUUGAUAUAUGGA